GAUGAACGCUGGCGGCGUGCCUAAUACAUGCAAGUCGAGCGAACAGACGAGGAGCUUGCUCCUCUGACGUUAGCGGCGGACGGGUGAGUAACACGUGGAUACCCUACCUAUAAGACUGGGAUAACUUCGGGAAACCGGAGCUAAUACCGGAUAAUAUAUUUAACCGCAUGGUUCAAUAGUGAAAGACGGUUUUGCUGUCACUUAUAGAUGGAUCCGCGCCGCAUUAGCUAGUUGGUAAGGUAACGGGUUACCAAGGCAGCUAUGCUUAGCCGACCUGAGAGAGUGAACGGCCACACUGGCACUGAGACACGGUCCAGAGUCCUACGGGAGGCAGCAGUAGGGAAUCUGCCGCAAUGGGCGAAAGCCUGACGGAGAAACGCCGCGUGAGUGAUGAAGGUCUUCGGAUCGUAAAACUCUGUUAUUAGGGAAGAACAAAUGUGUAAGUAACUAUGCACGUCUUGACGGUACCUAAUCAGAAAGCCACGGAUAACUACGUG
Molecule: ribosomal RNA, 497 nt
Filed under: uncultured bacterium
Lineage: Bacteria
Description: partial 16S ribosomal RNA
Rfam family: Bacterial small subunit ribosomal RNA
Source: RNAcentral